AACGAACGCUGGCGGCAUGCCUAACACAUGCAAGUCGAACGAGACCUUCGGGUCUGGUGGCGCACGGGUGCGUAACGCGUGGGAACCUGCCCUUAGGUUCGGAAUAACUCCCCGACAGGGGUGCUAAUACCGGAUAAUGUCUUCGGACCAAAGAUUUAUCGCCUUUGGAUGGGCCCGCGUUGGUUUAGCUUGUUGGUAUGGUAAAAGCCUACCAAGGCGACGAUACAUAGCUGGUCUGAGAGGAUGAUCAGCCACACUGGGACUGAGACACGGCCCAGACUCCUACGGGAGGCAGCAGUGGAGAAUAUUGGACAAUGGGCGAAAGCCUGAUCCAGCAAGGCCGCGUGAGUGAUGAUGGCCUUAGGGUUGUAAAGCUCUUUUACCCGGGAUGAUAAUGACAGUACCGGGAGAAUAAGCUCCGGCUAACUCCGUG
This 433-nucleotide ribosomal RNA is filed under the name uncultured bacterium. RNAcentral describes it as "partial 16S ribosomal RNA". It matches the Rfam family "Bacterial small subunit ribosomal RNA", at positions 29 to 507 of the family's 1533-position model. The record is from RNAcentral.